CAGCCAGAGACAACAUCAUAGAAGGCUACCAGUUGUCUGGAGAUGACAUCCAGUACAAGCUGUUCCAUCACCUUUCCAGGGACGGAGGUGAAGCUGACUGGCCUAUAAAAUGCUCAACAGCAAAACAUUACCCGCAAAUCUACUUCAAACUCUGAUCCUAUUACAGAAGAAAGGUAGUGCUUGGGAAUACUUAAGUAAUUUCAGCUCAAAGUUGUUGACCACAAUUAGAAUGAUUCUUAUUUUCUUUGACAUUUUUCCCAUGAACUCUAUUUUCACUGUAAGAACAUUUUCACAUCUGUAUGGAAAUCAGCGUUAUUAUAUUUUGCCCUCUGGAGGCUGUCUAGUUGCUAAAUAUUAAGUAUAUUUUUUUCUAAUUAGAAUAAUGUUCUUUGCUUAAUUUCACUGGCAUAUUCUCAUCUUUGAAUACUUGGCUAGUGGUUCAAGAGAUGAAAUGGUGCAAUGCUCAGUCAGAAUUGAUACCCAGACUUCAUAUCUGACCUACCCCUUCCCUCUGCUUCCGCAUGUUAAAAACCAUCUGAAUGCACUCAGACCUCAGACUGAAUUCUAACCUUGAAGUCUCAGAGCUGGAGAAGUGUGGGUGUUAAUUCAUGCCCAAAAUGCCACCAGAACAAUUCUCAUCUUGUAUUUUCUUUUGUAAAAUAUUAUUGGUAUAUUUAUAUAUGUAUACAAAUAAAGACUUUUAAAACAAA
Molecule: long non-coding RNA, 710 nt
Organism: Lagopus leucura (white-tailed ptarmigan)
Lineage: Eukaryota; Metazoa; Chordata; Aves; Galliformes; Phasianidae
Exons: 2
Source: RefSeq, a predicted model, not a curated record